CGAACAGGUCCCCAUAAUGCAGUAUGAUGAAUUAAGGGCCUGCAAGCUUGUGCAAUCAAAAGCAGGCCCCAUCCUGUUGGCAAGAAGGCAAGAAUGCAAAGAAUGAUAUCCCUGAUUGUCAUAUGAGGGACUGCAACUAAAAUAAUGAAACCAGCCACGCAGAUAAUGAAAAUAAAACCCUCAGCCAGCCUAAAUAACAACUGAAAGCUUGCACUGAAUUUACG
Molecule: unclassified non-coding RNA, 224 nt
Filed under: Hevea brasiliensis (rubber tree)
Lineage: Eukaryota; Viridiplantae; Streptophyta; Magnoliopsida; Malpighiales; Euphorbiaceae
Source: RNAcentral